RNAcentral lists this ribosomal RNA (253 nucleotides) under uncultured bacterium. RNAcentral's name for it is "partial 16S ribosomal RNA". It matches the Rfam family "Bacterial small subunit ribosomal RNA", at positions 524 to 776 of the family's 1533-position model. The record is from RNAcentral.
UACGUAGGGUGCGAGCGUUACUCGGAAUUACUGGGCGUAAAGUGUGCGCAGGCGGCCGCGCAAGUCGAGUGUGAAAGCCCCGAGCUUAACUUGGGAAUUGCGCUCGAAACUACGUGGCUGGAGUGUGGCAGAGGAAGGUGGAAUUCCACGUGUAGCGGUGAAAUGCGUAGAGAUGUGGAGGAACACCGAUGGCGAAGGCAGCCUUCUGGGCCAACACUGACGCUCAUGCACGAAAGCGUGGGGAGCAAACAGG